Molecule: non-coding RNA, 69 nt
Organism: Rattus norvegicus (Norway rat)
Lineage: Eukaryota; Metazoa; Chordata; Mammalia; Rodentia; Muridae
Source: Rfam
GGGGACUUAGCUCAGUGGUAGAGCACUUGCCUAGCAAGCGCAAGGCCCUGGGUUCGGUCCCCAGCUCCG